AGCUUAAUAAUUUAAGAAAAAUAUUAAAUUGCAAAUUUAAAUAUAGAAUUUUAUUCUUUAAGCUU
Molecule: transfer RNA, 65 nt
Filed under: Macrogyrus oblongus
Lineage: Eukaryota; Metazoa; Arthropoda; Insecta; Coleoptera; Gyrinidae
Description: tRNA-Cys
Source: RNAcentral